UGGGGAAUAUUGGACAAUGGGCGCAAGCCUGAUCCAGCAAUGCCGCGUGGGUGAAGAAGGCCUUCGGGUUGUAAAGCCCUUUUGUACGGGAAGAAAUCCCAUUCGUUAAUACCGGGUGGGGAUGACGGUACCGUAAGAAUAAGCACCGGCUAACUUCGUGCCAGCAGCCGCGGUAAUACGAAGGGUGCAAGCGUUAAUCGGAAUUACUGGGCGUAAAGCGUGCGUAGGUGGUUUGUUAAGUCUGAUGUGAAAGCCCCGGGCUCAACCUGGGAAUGGCAUUGGAUACUGGCUUACUAGAGUGCGGUAGAGGGUAGCGGAAUUUCCGGUGUAGCGGUGAAAUGCGUAGAGAUCGGAAGGAACAUCCGUGGCGAAGGCGGCUACCUGGACCAGCACUGACACUGAGGCACGAAAGCGUGGGGAGCAAACAGGAUUAGAUACCCCUGUAGUCC
This 449-nucleotide ribosomal RNA is filed under the name uncultured prokaryote. Its description in RNAcentral is "bacterial SSU rRNA". It matches the Rfam family "Bacterial small subunit ribosomal RNA", at positions 355 to 796 of the family's 1533-position model. The record is from RNAcentral.